This 407-nucleotide ribosomal RNA is filed under the name uncultured bacterium. RNAcentral describes it as "partial 16S ribosomal RNA". It matches the Rfam family "Bacterial small subunit ribosomal RNA", at positions 30 to 526 of the family's 1533-position model. The record is from RNAcentral.
AUUGAACGCUGGCGGCAGGCCUAACACAUGCAAGUCGAGCGGAACGUCGGACGGGUGAGUACUGCCUAGGCAUCUGCCUGGUAGUGGGCGAUAACUUCCGGAAACGGGCGCUAAUACCACAUACUAUCAGCUCAGCCUAGGUCGUAUUAGCUAGUUGGUGGGGUAAAGGCAUACCAAGGCGACGAUCCGUAAAUGGUCUGAGAGGAUGAUCAGUCACACUGGAACUGAGACACGGUCCAGACUCCUACGGGAGGCAGCAGUGGGGAAUAUUGCACAAUGGGCGCAAGCCUGAUGCAGCCAUGCCGCGUGGAUGAAGAAGGCCUUCGGGUUGUAAAGUACUUUCAGCGGGGAGGCGUUACCCGCAGAAGAAGCACCGGCUAACUCCGUGCCAGCAGCCGCGGUAAUUC